RNAcentral lists this ribosomal RNA (780 nucleotides) under Rhodobacteraceae bacterium ACEMC 11-6. RNAcentral describes it as "bacterial SSU rRNA". It matches the Rfam family "Bacterial small subunit ribosomal RNA", at positions 40 to 868 of the family's 1533-position model. Lineage: Bacteria; Pseudomonadati; Pseudomonadota; Alphaproteobacteria; Rhodobacterales; Paracoccaceae. The record is from RNAcentral.
CGGCAGGCCUAACACAUGCAAGUCGAGCGCUCACUUCGGUGGGAGCGGCGGACGGGUUAGUAACGCGUGGGAACGUACCCUUCUCUACGGAAUAGCCUCGGGAAACUGAGAGUAAUACCGUAUACGCCCUUUGGGGGAAAGAUUUAUCGGAGAAGGAUCGGCCCGCGUUAGAUUAGAUAGUUGGUGGGGUAAUGGCCUACCAAGUCUACGAUCUAUAGCUGGUUUUAGAGGAUGAUCAGCAACACUGGGACUGAGACACGGCCCAGACUCCUACGGGAGGCAGCAGUGGGGAAUCUUAGACAAUGGGCGCAAGCCUGAUCUAGCCAUGCCGCGUGUGUGAUGAAGGCCCUAGGGUCGUAAAGCACUUUCGCCAGGGAUGAUAAUGACAGUACCUGGUAAAGAAACCCCGGCUAACUCCGUGCCAGCAGCCGCGGUAAUACGGAGGGGGUUAGCGUUGUUCGGAAUUACUGGGCGUAAAGCGCGCGUAGGCGGAUCAGAAAGUAUGGGGUGAAAUCCCGGGGCUCAACCUCGGAACUGCCUCAUAAACUACUGGUCUAGAGUUCGAGAGAGGUGAGUGGAAUUCCGAGUGUAGAGGUGAAAUUCGUAGAUAUUCGGAGGAACACCAGUGGCGAAGGCGGCUCACUGGCUCGAUACUGACGCUGAGGUGCGAAAGUGUGGGGAGCAAACAGGAUUAGAUACCCUGGUAGUCCACACCGUAAACGAUGAAUGCCAGUCGUCGGCAAGCAUGCUUGUCGGUGACACACCUAACGGAUAAGCAUC